RNAcentral lists this ribosomal RNA (253 nucleotides) under uncultured bacterium. RNAcentral describes it as "partial 16S ribosomal RNA". It matches the Rfam family "Bacterial small subunit ribosomal RNA", at positions 524 to 776 of the family's 1533-position model. The record is from RNAcentral.
UACGUAGGGGGCAAGCGUUGUCCGGAUUCAUUGGGCGUAAAGAGCGUGUAGGCGGCCAGGUAGGUCGGUUGUGAAAACUGGAGGCUCAACCUUCAGAGGUCGACCGAAACCAUCUGGCUAGAGUCCGGGAGAGGAGAGUGGAAUUCCUGGUGUAGCGGUGAAAUGCGUAGAUAUCUGGAGGAACACCGGUGGCGAAGGCGGCAUCCUGGACCGACACUGACGCUGAGGAGCGAAAGCCAGGGGAGCAAACGGG